This 208-nucleotide ribosomal RNA is filed under the name uncultured bacterium. Its description in RNAcentral is "partial 16S ribosomal RNA". It matches the Rfam family "Bacterial small subunit ribosomal RNA", at positions 1294 to 1500 of the family's 1533-position model. The record is from RNAcentral.
CGGAUCGCAGUCUGCAACUCGACUGCGUGAAGGUGGAGUCGCUAGUAAUCGCGGAUCAGCAACGCCGCGGUGAAUGCGUUCCCGGGCCUUGUACACACCGCCGUCAAGUCAUGAAAGUGGGCAGCACCCGAAGACGGUGGCCUAACCCUUGUGGGGGGAGCCGUCUAAGGUGAGGCUCGUGAUUGGGACUAAGUCGUAACAAGGUAGC